This is a long non-coding RNA of Pseudophryne corroboree (corroboree frog), 1083 nucleotides long. RefSeq lists it as uncharacterized. The record is from RefSeq and is a predicted model, not a curated record. NCBI's taxonomy places the organism in Eukaryota, Metazoa, Chordata, Amphibia, Anura, Myobatrachidae. The transcript is spliced from 3 exons.
UUUAACACAUACGGCUCAGUGCAGCACCUUAUUCAUGCUGAUGAACAUCGUUCUGCAUGGCAUUAUUAUCUGGUGGGACAAGGUGAAACCCGGAACCGGACCAUCUGACUGGACCGGCUCCCUGCAGCGCCCCCUUCUGAAGUGGAGCUCUCUCUGUGCGCGCCCCAGUCCGAUCCCUAGCCUCAAAGGGUAACCACAGAGAUGACGUCACCUUCCCACAUCGGCCUGACUGACAAUGUGCAGUGAACACAAUGUGCUCCAUAAUGGUGGCUGCUUCCUAUAAAGAUAGUACAUACGGAACAUGGGGCUGCGUCCUAUCACAGUCUCUAUGGAAAGGAUAUCCCUGCAGGAAGGAGAAAGGUGUGGUAAAGACUGUGUAGCAUUUCUGAUUCUCUAUUGUGCAAAUCUUUGGAGGGACACAGGAAAAGGAUGCGGAAGUUUCUACCGGAAGAAGGAGGAAAGUUCAAACAUAAACAGCUUCCAAAAAAUUUCAUUAGAGGAUAUUUUUCAUUUGUCACACUGCUCCGAACCCUUUCCUGACUGGAUGCCAGGUACAUGGGUUACACUGCAAACUGAGUACAGCAAAUAAUUGCAUGCUAAUAAAGAGUAAAGUGAAUAAAUAAAUAUAUUUAGGAAGUACUUAAUAAAUUGCAACACAUUGCUUUGCAAUGCAUCAUAAUCUAAUACCUGUGGAUUCUCCAAUGGUUUUGUAUUCCCUGGUAUGACCAAGUGUCAGUAACCCUUUAUUGCAUGCUGACAUGAAGAAAAAAGGAAACAAGGAAAAAAACAUUUACCGUUUUCAUGGAAUUUCAGCAAGUGGUUUGCCUGCUGCUUCUCACUAAGCAAGUGCCUUUGUUCAGGUACACCAGGCUAAUGGUCAGCCCUUCCUACAUUGUUAUAAUACGAAACCACGAUGGGUGUAUUCUGAGUUUUAAUCUGUCCAUAUAAUUCCCCCUAAUGUAGGAUCUCGAUUUUUUUAGAUUCAAAUACAAAUCACCAAGAUAAACACUUGUAAACAAUAUUUAUACAUGAAGAACUUAACUAAAGAAUGUAAUAAAAUGUAUUUGUUAUAUAAUACCCCUU